AUUGAACGCUGGCGGCAUGCCUUACACAUGCAAGUCGAACGGUAACGCGGGGCAACCUGGCGACGAGUGGCGAACGGGUGAGUAAAGCAUCGGAACGUGCCCAGUAGUGGGGGAUAGCCCGGCGAAAGCCGGAUUAAUACCGCAUACGACCUAAGGGUGAAAGGGGGGGAUCGCAAGACCUCUCGCUAUUGGAGCGGCCGAUGUCAGAUUAGGUAGUUGGUGGGGUAAAGGCCUACCAAGCCGACGAUCUGUAGCUGGUCUGAGAGGACGACCAGCCACACUGGGACUGAGACACGGCCCAGACUCCUACGGGAGGCAGCAGUGGGGAAUUUUGGACAAUGGGCGCAAGCCUGAUCCAGCCAUGCCGCGUGCGGGAAGAAGGCCUUCGGGUUGUAAACCGCUUUUGUCAGGGAAGAAAUCCUUUGGGUUAAUACCUCGGGGGGAUGACGGUACCUGAAGAAUAAGCACCGGCUAACUACGUGCCAGCAGCCGCGGUAA
This 498-nucleotide ribosomal RNA is filed under the name uncultured bacterium. Its description in RNAcentral is "partial 16S ribosomal RNA". It matches the Rfam family "Bacterial small subunit ribosomal RNA", at positions 29 to 523 of the family's 1533-position model. The record is from RNAcentral.